Non-coding RNA from Pelobates cultripes (western spadefoot toad), 288 nucleotides. Lineage: Eukaryota; Metazoa; Chordata; Amphibia; Anura; Pelobatidae. The record is from the annotation of a GenBank genome assembly.
UGGUGCCCAUAGUUGGGGCUCCUAAAAAAGGUGAGUUGUCUCGCUGUGGUUUAGUGUCAGAGGCUGAUUCAGCUGAUGUAACAUCCACCGUGGGUAUGUUGGGACGUAUUAUUUUCCUUCUCUGUCGCCGUGGUUGUGUGCCAGUAAGCCAUUUGUAGACACGGUGCUUUUGGUAAUCUUAAAAGACACUUUGGAUUUUUGAAUUUAACAAGAUCGCUUUUGUAUUUUAGCAAUUUCUCUUUAAGUUUAUCUUACAGUUUGAUGCCAUCUGGAGAUGACAAUAUGAUG